This is a long non-coding RNA of Mesocricetus auratus (golden hamster), 679 nucleotides long. RefSeq lists it as uncharacterized. The record is from RefSeq and is a predicted model, not a curated record. The transcript has 3 exons. Lineage: Eukaryota; Metazoa; Chordata; Mammalia; Rodentia; Cricetidae.
CAUCAGGUCUCUGUGCCAUAUGGUAGUCAAAAUGAUAGACAGUGUUAGGAAAAUGUGGAGAAGAAAUUCAUAGGAUUCUACAAGAGAAAGAACAUUGAAGUAGAUUUAAUAUGGAGACCAUCCACACAAUGCUUUCUGCAGAUGGAGUAUCUUGUGGAGGGUGUGGCCAUGGAAUUUUCUUCUUUGAGUGAAUGUGAUGGAGGAUACUAUACAACAGAAGGGAUCAAGCACAGAGUUUAACCAUCACAGAUGCUGCUUCACUUAUAUCACCUUCAAGAUUAUAUAUCCUCAUGAAAUGGCUAUAGUGUUCUUAAUCUCUACCCAACAGUUACGUUUCCUUGUGGCCCCUUAAACCAAUCCCUUUCUGAGUCAUUCUGACUGCUGCUUGUCCCCCUUUGAUAGUUGAAAGAAGCUAGAGUAGUUGGUGUCCCUAGACCUCUAACAGCAGUCAGGAAGACCUUUGAGAGGGAACAAUGAGGGACUAGAAGUUAGACAGAUUCCCUGAUAGGAAGAUAGAUAGGGAAAGGGACUAUUACUAGGUAAUAAACAUAGUGAACUUCCAAGAUGGUUAGCUGUUGGGAGAUUCUUUAAAUAUGUGUCUGAUUGGUUUGAAUAAAGCACUGUUGGCCAAUAGGAAAGCAAGAUAGGUGGGACUAGGAGUCGAGGAGGAUUCUGGGAA